Molecule: ribosomal RNA, 253 nt
Filed under: uncultured bacterium
Lineage: Bacteria
Description: partial 16S ribosomal RNA
Rfam family: Bacterial small subunit ribosomal RNA
Source: RNAcentral
UACGGAGGGUGCAAGCGUUGUCCGGAUUUAUUGGGCUUAAAGGGCGCGUAGGCGGCUUUUUAAGUCAGUGGUGAAAUACAGCAGCUCAACUGUUGAGGUGCCAUUGAUACUGAAGAGCUUGAGUACAGAUGAGGUAGGCGGAAUUUAUGGUGUAGCGGUGAAAUGCAUAGAUACCAUAAAGAACACCGAUUGCGAAGGCAGCUUGCUAGGCUGUAACUGACGCUGAGGCACGAAAGCGUGGGGAGCGAACAGG